GAAGAUAUUUUUCUCAAGGCUUCCUCGUCUACAGAGGUCAGGAAACAUGCACACCAUUCAUGUACAGGCUGAUCUUUGUCAUAUGGGAUAGACAAAAUCUCUGGACUUUGACAGCCCAGUAAAUUGACAGUGCCUAUGGCCAAGUCUUGUAACAAGUUUGAAUCAUUUGCCUCAAGGGAUAGCUUCAUGUAGUCGAGUAUGCGCUGAAAUUUGGAGGUAGUGGACAACCUCUCCAAUAGUGUUAGGUGUCUGAUAAUUAGUUCCCUCAAGUGGGGCAACAAAAAUGGCUCUGUAUCCAAGUUGUGGCGCAGUGUCUGACAAAUUUUACACAGCACCUGAAGCUUACACAAACAGGCACUUACUCUAUUAUGUUCCCUAGUAUCUAUGACACAAAAGGUGUGGACCACGCUUUCCAGAGAAGGAUAAUAAAAUUCAUCCCCCAUGUUUUCUGUUCUUAUAGGACUGGCACGGAUCGAAGCAGGUCUACUUGAGCCAGUUGAUUGGAGUCUCUGCUGAAACAAAAGAGGAAUUUCAGCAACUGGUAGAUCUAUUUAUAUGCUUCCUACAGCACCCUGAAGAUGGUUUGAAUGCUCUGCAGUAUGUCAAGAAUUUGGAACUUGCUCUUCGGCGUCUGCAGUCAGACAGUCUCAAACAUGGGCCUUUGUCUGGGUUAAUAUUUGACCUGAACUUCUACAAUGUCUGGGUAAUGUUCAGAAACCAGAAGGUGAGGUUUAAUGCCAAAGUCCAUAACAGGCAUCCAUGUGGGUACAUAUCUCACCACCUGAUCAAAUAUGCCAUUGAAAGAGUUGUCUAUACCACAGACAGGCUGUUUCUGACUGCCCCAUGUUCGGGGGUACAGCUACCUCAACCUCUGGCCUGCAGUCUGUUCGAAAUACUCAAGGAUGUUAGAGGAAAAUGCACAACGGCCUGGAGGCGCUUAGGGGCAGGCCGCAGACAUUUAAUGACAUUUGGGCGCAAUGUGUUGGAUGAAUUUAAUUCUGAGAAGAAGUCACCUGGUGGCAUAUCCAGAGAAGUUGAGGCAUUUAUAAAGAUAUGCUUUCCACAAAUGGACUUAAAUAAAAUUUUAAUUCCAAUUUAUCAGCACGCCAUCAACAUCCCACCAGACUGUGUACCCAGCUGUACUAUUGGAGAUGGAAACAGAAAACGAGCCCCCCACGGUUCGCUAUACAGUAAAGACAUAUCCUCACAAAAGUUCUGCAUCCCAGACCCCCUGUUUGCUUCUCCCACAGAACCAGGGUUGGGGGAGUUGCAUAGGGGUAAUAUGGCACAUUUGCUGCAGAACCCAGAAGAAAUCAUUAACCUGGACCCUCUACACAAUACCACUGAACCCUGUUUGUAUCAAAUGUUUUCAGAGGCGGUGACAAACCCCUCUAAAAAAAGAUGGCUUUCUUCUUUCAACAUGGUCUUUUCAGGACUGUCUCCGAGAGCUCGGCCAGAGACCACUUAUGAACCAUUGGGGCCAUUUUCACCCAUUAGCCCUGGCCCUUCUUCCGCCACAGAAGAGUUCCAGUUUGAAUUUAGCCCUUCUCCUCAAACCUCCCCAGAAACAAGCGAGCAGAGCUACAUACCUACUCCCAACUCAGCUAUGGGCGGAUCCUUUGAGUACACAGGCGCCGUUCAACCACAACUAAUUCCAGAUAAUCACACCUGUUCCGCAAAGAGAUUAAGGGAGAGCGAUGAGGAGGUAAAUUAUUCUUCAGACGGUAGUCCAAACAAGAAACCCACAGCUCGCACUUCUGGGCACGAACAGGCUUAUGGUUUUCUGGCCGAGUUGCUCUCUAGCCACAGGGAUACGCCUGUCCAGCAUAUUGUGCAAUCUGGCUCAACGCCCGCCCCGCCAAUUGUUGAGCCUCAGGGACAAGAUUUUGUUGGAAAACAGGAUGAGACAUGUUCCAACGUGUUCCCAGAACAAAUUACUCAGGAAGCGUGUCCCGGAUCAUCUGAGGACGCGUUCAUCGAUGAUGCUAUAAAGGAAAUAUUUGCAUCGCUGGACUCUAUGGCAAACCAGGACACUGCUGACAGUGACACAUGUUCCAUACUUGACCCCCAAUCACCCACUCCCCCACCCUCCGUUCCCCCAAUAACUACACUCUCGUUGUAUGACAUUUAUGCCAGCAUACUUAGUCCACUCGACCCAAACAGCCUGGAGUCAUAAACGGUGCCAAAUACAAGACAUUUCUAAAUCCUUAAGUAUAAUGUUUAUAUUUAACUGAAUAAAAGAAGUGACGCUAUAAAACCCUCAA
RNAcentral lists this non-coding RNA (2264 nucleotides) under synthetic construct. The record is from RNAcentral.